Molecule: microRNA, 17 nt
Filed under: Corchorus olitorius
Lineage: Eukaryota; Viridiplantae; Streptophyta; Magnoliopsida; Malvales; Malvaceae
Description: hsa-miR-44
Source: RNAcentral
CCUGGUGGUGUCCUUUU